RNAcentral lists this ribosomal RNA (292 nucleotides) under uncultured bacterium. Its description in RNAcentral is "partial 16S ribosomal RNA". It matches the Rfam family "Bacterial small subunit ribosomal RNA", at positions 505 to 796 of the family's 1533-position model. The record is from RNAcentral.
GUGUCAGCCGCCGCGGUAAAACGUAGGAGGCGAGCGUUAUCCGGAGUUACUGGGCGUAAAGCGCGUGUAGGUGGUUGGAUACGUCUGCUGUGAAAUGUCCCGGCUUAACCGGGAGGGUGCGGCAGAUACGGUCUGACUUGAGGGUGACAGAGGAGCGUAGAAUUCCGGGUGUAGUGGUGAAAUGCGUAGAGAUCCGGAGGAAUACCAGUGGCGCAAGCGGCGCUCUGGGUCACAUCUGACACUGAGACGCGAAGGCAUGGGGAGCGAACGGGAUUAGAUACCCGCGUAGUCC